RNAcentral lists this ribosomal RNA (492 nucleotides) under uncultured bacterium. RNAcentral describes it as "partial 16S ribosomal RNA". It matches the Rfam family "Bacterial small subunit ribosomal RNA", at positions 30 to 507 of the family's 1533-position model. The record is from RNAcentral.
AGUGAACGCUGGCGGCAGGCCUAACACAUGCAAGUCGAACGGCAGCACAGUGCUUGCUUGUGGUUACGGGUGGGGAGGGGCGGGUGGGGCAGGGAAAUCUCGCAAUUUGCGGUUUAGAACGGGAUGAAGCGGGGGCACAUACGGCAUAAGCGCAUACGACGAACGGGGGAAAUCAUCGGAUCUUAGGCUAUUGCGCGAGUCUAUGUGGCGAUGGCGGAUUAGCUAGUUGGGGGGGUAAAGGCCCACCAAGGCGACGAUCCGUAGCUGGUCUGAGAGGAUGAUCAGCCACACUGGAACUGAGACACGGUCCAGACUCCUACGGGAGGCAGCAGUGGGGAAUAUUGGACAAUGGGCGCAAGCCUGAUCCAGCCAUGCCGCGUGGGUGAAGAAGGCCUUCGGGUUGUAAAGCCCUUUUGGUGGGAAAGAAAAGCAGCAGGUUAAUACCCCGCUGUUCUGACGGUACCCAAAGAAUAAGCACCGGCUAACUUCGUG